This 1199-nucleotide long non-coding RNA is filed under the name Homo sapiens (human). RNAcentral's name for it is "HSALNT0388519". The record is from RNAcentral. Lineage: Eukaryota; Metazoa; Chordata; Mammalia; Primates; Hominidae.
CUUGAGCGAGUGAAACAGUGCAGUGGCUUAAGAUAGUUCUCUUUAGUUUUCCCAUGAUUUAUCACAAGCAAGUUCACAGCAGGUUAAAAUAAUUGAAUGCGGUGAUAGCAUACAUACUGGCAUGAUUUUAUGAGCCGUCAUUCAUAACAUAUUUGUCCCAAAGCAUAAUUUCCAUGAUAGAACUCUGAUUCACAUGUAAUUUUUUUGCAGCGACGACACAGUUGAAAUAACUCCUUCGUGGAGGCUGGCUACAUUUUCACAACGUCUGGUCCCAAGCUAGAUCUUCGGGAAAAGGGAUCAAGGAAAUGACUAUUCCUCCAAAUAAAAUGCAACAAGAAGAAUGAAAAAACGUAGAAGAGAAAGCCUCGUGAAACUGAGAAGCAUCUGCAACCACAAACUACAAAAUGUAGCUGCUAAACAAAAUGAAAGUUGGAUCAAAGUGGUGGCAAAUAUCAAGAGUGAAUAUACUCCACGGCAGAGUACUGCAAAUGCCGGGUCCGGUGGCUCACACCUGUAAUCCCAGCACUUUGGGAGGCCGAGGCAGGUGGAUCACCUGAGGUCGGGAGUUCAAGACCAGUCUGACCAAUAUGGAGAAACCCCAUCUCUACUGAAAAUAUAAAAUUAGCUGGGCAUGGUGCUGCAUGCCUGUAAUCCCAGCUACUCGGGAGACUGAGGCAGGGGAAUUGCUUGAACCUGGGAGGUGGAGGUUAUGGUGAGCUGAGAUAGCAUCAUUGCACUGUAGCCUGGGUAACAAGAGUGAAACUCCAUCUGAAAAAAAAAAAAAUUCCUUGUAAGGUGAAUUAUCAAAAUAAAAACAUAAUUAUAAUUGUACUUCAUUCAGUUACAAAUAAAACAUAUCUACUCAAUGUUUGAGUAAUUGAAUCUUUAAUUUAAAUAAAAAUAAGGCCCGGCACAGUGGUUCAUGCCUAUAAUCAUAGUGCUUUGGGAGGCGGGAGGAUCGCUUGAGCCCUUGGCAUUCACGGCUGCAGUGAGCUGUGAUUGCAUUACUGAACUCUAGCCUGGGUGAUGGAGGUGCGAGAUCCUGUUUCUAAAAACAUGAAAAUAGUUAAAAAUUAAAAAUAAAUAGUAGGCAGGGCGUGGUGGCUCACACCUGUAAUCCCAGCACUUUGGGAGGCUGAGGCAGGCGGAUCACGAGGUCAGGAGAUCGAGACCAUCCUGGCUAACAUGGUGAAACCCCG